AGCAGCCGCGGUAAUUCCAGCUCCAAUAGCGUAUAUUAAAGUUGUUGCAGUUAAAAGCUCGUAGUUGAAUUUCGGGGUCAGCAGGUUGGUCGUGCCAAUGGUAUGCACUGGCCUUGGUGAUUCCUCCCUCUUGUAGAACCGUAAUGCCAUUAAGUUGGUGUUGCGGGGAAACAGGACUGUUACUUUGAAAAAUUAGAGUGUUUAAAGCAGGCUAACGCCUGAAUACAUUAGCAUGGAAUAAUGAAAUAGGACGAUCGAUCCUAUUUUGUUGGUUUCUAGGAUUGACGUAAUGAUUAAUAGGGAUAGUUGGGGGCAUUAGUAUUCAAUUGUCAGAGGUGAAAUUCUUGGAUUUAUUGAAGACUAACUACUGCGAAAGCAUUUGCCAAGGAUGUUUUCAUUAAUC
This 403-nucleotide unclassified non-coding RNA is filed under the name uncultured Diversispora. RNAcentral describes it as "SSU rRNA". It matches the Rfam family "Eukaryotic small subunit ribosomal RNA", at positions 569 to 978 of the family's 1831-position model. The record is from RNAcentral. Lineage: Eukaryota; Fungi; Glomeromycota; Glomeromycetes; Diversisporales; Diversisporaceae.